Molecule: ribosomal RNA, 253 nt
Filed under: uncultured bacterium
Lineage: Bacteria
Description: partial 16S ribosomal RNA
Rfam family: Bacterial small subunit ribosomal RNA
Source: RNAcentral
GACGUAGGGAGCGAGCGUUGUUCGGAUUCAUUGGGCGUAAAGGGCUCGUAGGUGGCUUUGUAAGUCGGAGGUGAAAUCCCACGGCUCAACCGUGGACACGCCUUCGAAACUGUGAAGCUUGAGGCUGGGAGAGGAAAUCGGAAUUCCUGGUGUAGCGGUGAAAUGCGCAGAUAUCAGGAAGAACACCCGUGGCGAAAGCGGCUCUCUGGAACGGUACUGACGCUGAGACGCGAAAGCGUGGGGAGCGAACAGG